GCUCGCUCGCUCCCUCUCGGGAAGCUGCGAAAGUGCUUUGGCGGUUUGUCCAUCCGCAGCUUCGGCUUUUCCAGUCUGGUGGCCCUUCCGGCCACCUCUUUAACCCUAGCUUUCCCUCCCCCUUUUUUCGGUCAGAGAUCGGCGGAGACCCUCGAAGUGCGCAAACUUGACACUCACCCUGACCGGACUGGGGUUUUAAGGGGUGUGGCAGGAGGUUUUGGACUCGAUGAGUUUCCACCGAAAUGUCGGAGAAGUCAGGCCAGAGCACAAAAGCAAAGGAUGGGAAAAAGUAUGCAACACUCAGUUUAUUUAAUACUUACAAGGGGAAAUCAUUAGAAACACAGAAAACCACAGUUGCAGCUCGACAUGGAUUACAGAGUCUUGGAAAAGUCGGUAUUUCACGGCGUAUGCCUCCACCUGCUAACCUCCCAAGUCUUAAAGCAGAAAACAAAGGCAAUGAUCCUAAUGUAAACAUUGUACCUAAAGAUGGCACAGGGUGGGCAUCAAAACAAGAGCAACAUGAAGAAGAAAAAACACCAGAAGUGCCACCAGCACAGCCAAAACCUGGGGUUGCAGCUCCCCCAGAAGUAGCACCUGCUCCCAAAUCAUGGGCCAGUAACAAGCAAGGAAUCCAAGUGAAUAGUCAGUUUCAGCAAGAAUUUCCCAGCCUGCAGGCAGCUGGGGAUCAGGAAAAAAAAGAAAAGGAAACAAAUGAUGACAACUAUGGACCUGGACCCAGUUUACGUCCACCAAAUGUUGCUUGUUGGAGAGAUGGUGGUAAGGCUGCUGGCUCACCUUCGUCAUCUGAUCAAGAUGAAAAGCUCCCUGGCCAGGAUGAAAGCACAGCUGGAACAUCAGAGCAAAAUGAUAUCCUCAAAGUGGUGGAAAAGAGGAUAGCUUGUGGUCCUCCACAGGCUAAACUGAAUGGACAGCAGGCUGCUCUCGCUUCCCAGUAUAGAGCUAUGAUGCCUCCUUAUAUGUUCCAACAGUAUCCGAGGAUGACAUAUCCUCCUCUACAUGGUCCCAUGAGAUUCCCACCUUCUUUAUCUGAAACAAACAAAGGCCUUCGAGGAAGAGGCCCACCUCCUUCAUGGGCCUCUGAGCCUGAACGCCCAUCCAUUCUUAGUGCAUCAGAACUGAAGGAGCUUGAUAAAUUUGAUAACCUAGAUGCUGAAGCUGAUGAAGGUUGGGCAGGUAAGAGGCAAAAUUAAUUAAGUCCUUUAAAUUGUUAGAUGCUUUCAAGCAGCCAGUCUGAGUUUUCCUUAAUUUAAUAGGUGCUCAGAUGGAAGUAGAUUAUACAGAGCAACUGAAUUUCAGUGAUGAUGAUGAACAAGGAAGUAACAGUCCUAAAGAAAAUAACAGUGAGGAUCAAGGUUCAAAAGCCUCUGAAAACAAUGAAAACAAAAAAGAAACAGAUGAAGUUUCCAACACUAAAUCAUCUUCCCAAAUACCUGCCCAACCAUCAGUAGCAAAAGUUCCCUAUGGGAAAGGACCUUCAUUUAAUCAGGAACGUGGAACAUCUUCACAUCUGCCACCACCUCCAAAGUUGCUUGCACAGCAGCAUCCACCUCCAGAUCGACAGGCAGUACCUGGAAGACCAGGCCCCUUUCCCUCCAAGCAGCAAGUAGCUGAUGAAGAUGAAAUAUGGAAGCAAAGACGAAGACAACAAUCAGAAAUUUCUGCAGCAGUAGAACGUGCUCGUAAACGGCGUGAAGAGGAAGAGCGAAGAAUGGAAGAACAAAGGAAGGCAGCUUGUGCGGAGAAACUGAAACGAUUGGAUGAGAAGCUUGGCAUCCUGGAAAAACAACCAUCUCCAGAGGAAAUUAGGGAAAGGGAGCGAGAAAAAGAACGGGAGCGUGAGAAAGAACUUGAAAAAGAACAAGAACAGGAGCGAGAGAAGGAGAGGGAAAAAGAGAGAGAGAGAGAGGAAAAGGAGAAAGAGCUGGAGAAGGAGCAGGAAAAACAAAGAGAAAUGGAGAAAGAAAGAAAGCAAGAAAAAGAAAAAGAA
This 2008-nucleotide small RNA is filed under the name Pan troglodytes (chimpanzee). Its description in RNAcentral is "processed transcript". The record is from RNAcentral. Lineage: Eukaryota; Metazoa; Chordata; Mammalia; Primates; Hominidae.